AGAUACCCCACUAUGCUUAGCCCUAAACAUAAAUUCCUCACCCACACACAAAUUCGCCUGGGAACUACAGACAUUAGUUUAAAACCCAAAGGACUUGGCGGUGCUUAACAUCCACCUAGAGGAGCCUGUUCUAGAACCGAUACUCCCCGAUAAACCUCACCCCUCCUUGUUAUAAUUCCGCCUGUAUACCGCCGUCGUCAGCUUACCCUGUAAAGGACUUGAAGUAAGCAAAAUUGGCAACACCCAAAACGUCAGGUCAAGGUGCAGCGUAUGGAGAGGAAAGAAAUGGGCUACAUUUACUAAUCAAUAGUAAACACGGAUGAUAACUUGAAACAAUUAUCUAAAGGAGGAUUUAGAAGUAAGUAAAAACAG
RNAcentral lists this ribosomal RNA (372 nucleotides) under Brachirus orientalis (oriental sole). RNAcentral's name for it is "partial small subunit ribosomal RNA". It matches the Rfam family "Bacterial small subunit ribosomal RNA", at positions 780 to 1352 of the family's 1533-position model. The record is from RNAcentral. Lineage: Eukaryota; Metazoa; Chordata; Actinopteri; Pleuronectiformes; Soleidae.